CCCAGACUCCUACGGGAGGCAGCAGUGGGGGAUAUUGCACAAUGGGGGGAACCCUGAUGCAGCGACGCCGCGUGGGUGAAGGAGCGUUUCGGCGCGUAAAGCCCUAUCGGCAGGGAAGAAGGAGGACGGUACCUGACUAAGAAGCCCCGGCUAACUACGUGCCAGCAGCCGCGGUAAUACGUAGGGGGCAAGCGUUAUCCGGAGUUACUGGGUGUAAAGGGGGCGCAGACGGCAGCGCAAGCCAGGAGUGAAAGCCCGGGGCCCAACCCCGGGACUGCUCUUGGAACUGCGCGGCUGGAGUGCAGGAGGGGCAGGCGGAAUUCCUGGUGUAGCGGUGAAAUGCGUAGAUAUCAGGAGGAACACCGGUGGCGAAGGCGGCCUGCUGGACUGCGACUGACGUUGAGGCCCGAAAGCGUGGGGAGCAAACAGGAUUAGAUACCCUAGUAC
This 447-nucleotide ribosomal RNA is filed under the name uncultured bacterium. RNAcentral describes it as "bacterial SSU rRNA". It matches the Rfam family "Bacterial small subunit ribosomal RNA", at positions 330 to 793 of the family's 1533-position model. The record is from RNAcentral.